GGUCCAAUAGUGUAGAGGUUAUCACACGGGAUUCUGAUAGUCAUCUAUGUUGGCUUCCCGUGACCCAGGUUCGAGUCCUGGUUGGACCU
Rhodocollybia butyracea is the source of this 89-nucleotide non-coding RNA. The record is from the annotation of a GenBank genome assembly. Lineage: Eukaryota; Fungi; Basidiomycota; Agaricomycetes; Agaricales; Omphalotaceae.